This 200-nucleotide long non-coding RNA is filed under the name Elaeis guineensis (African oil palm). RNAcentral's name for it is "long non-coding RNA (EGUI_LNC025858)". Lineage: Eukaryota; Viridiplantae; Streptophyta; Magnoliopsida; Arecales; Arecaceae. The record is from RNAcentral.
GGACAACUCAGUAGCUUCAUGGUAUCAAUAAAGAAAGGAAAAUACUUGUAAUAGCACCUUAGCAGGUCCUUUAUUUGUGGAUUUUUCAUGGUAUGGCACCUAGCAAGUUCUUCUUAAAUUUAUUCAUUUUUAAAAGUUAUCCACCGAUUCCCUAGUUACUGUUUUGCUUCCUUGAUAAAAAUAGAAAACAAUAGAGAGGG